RNAcentral lists this ribosomal RNA (484 nucleotides) under uncultured bacterium. Its description in RNAcentral is "partial 16S ribosomal RNA". It matches the Rfam family "Bacterial small subunit ribosomal RNA", at positions 30 to 507 of the family's 1533-position model. The record is from RNAcentral.
AUUGAACGCUGGCGGCAGGCCUAACACAUGUAAGUCGAGCGGAUGAAGGGAGCUUGCUCCUGGAUUCAGCGGCGGGCGGGUGAGUAAUGCCUAGGAAUCUGCCUGGUAGUGGGGGAUAACGUCCGGAAACGGGCGCUAAUACCGCAUACGUCCUGAGGGAGAAAGUGGGGGAUCUUCGGACCUCACGCUAUCAGAUGAGCCUAGGUCGGAUUAGCUAGUUGGUGGGGUAAAGGCCUACCAAGGCGACGAUCCGUAACUGGUCUGAGAGGAUGAUCAGUCACACUGGAACUGAGACACGGUCCAGACUCCUACGGGAGGCAGCAGUGGGGAAUAUUGGACAAUGGGCGAAAGCCUGAUCCAGCCAUGCCGCGUGUGUGAAGAAGGUCUUCGGAUUGUAAAGCACUUUAAGUUGGGAGGAAGGGCAGUAAGUUAAUACCUUGCUGUUUUGACGUUACCAACAGAAUAAGCACCGGCUAACUUCGUG